CUUUCGCGUCAAUCGAGACAAGAUCGCGAAGACCGCGAGGCCUCCCUUGAUGCCCGCUCCGAUUGAGAACCCUUUCGCCGAAGCAACGAGGACUCUCCGAAGCUUCUCAAACUCCUUCGGCGGAAUUGCGUCGACGAUGAUCCUCGAUGACGACGUCGUCGAGGGAAGAGAUCCAUUGGAGUGUUUGCAGUCGGUGGAUGCAUGGUCGUCUUCAUUGUGAAAACCGUUUAUUUUCACCGGUCGGAGGCCGCCGGUUUCGACGACUGACGGAGACAUGGUGGCUGUGGAGGAAGCAAGGACGGAGAAGAAAGGUGGAAAAUGGAGCAGAUGAGCAGAGUACUAGAUUUUGUAUUUCUAUUUUUCGAAACUGAGCUGCCAAAGGAGACAAAAAUACAAAAACAAAACACGACUCAGACUGUUGUGGAGGGCAGCUUAAUA
Molecule: long non-coding RNA, 438 nt
Filed under: Arachis ipaensis
Lineage: Eukaryota; Viridiplantae; Streptophyta; Magnoliopsida; Fabales; Fabaceae
Description: long non-coding RNA (AIPA_LNC000667)
Source: RNAcentral